This 496-nucleotide ribosomal RNA is filed under the name uncultured bacterium. Its description in RNAcentral is "partial 16S ribosomal RNA". It matches the Rfam family "Bacterial small subunit ribosomal RNA", at positions 28 to 506 of the family's 1533-position model. The record is from RNAcentral.
GAUGAACGCUGGCGGCGUGCCUAAUACAUGCAAGUCGAGCGAACGGACGAGAAGCUUGCUUCUCUGAUGUUAGCGGCGGACGGGUGAGUAACACGUGGAUAACCUACCUAUAAGACUGGGAUAACUUCGGGAAACCGGAGCUAAUACCGGAUAAUAUUUUGAACCGCAUGGUUCAAAAGUGAAAGACGGUCUUGCUGUCACUUAUAGAUGGAUCCGCGCUGCAUUAGCUAGUUGGUAAGGUAACGGCUUACCAAGGCAACGAUGCAUAGCCGACCUGAGAGGGUGAUCGGCCACACGGGAACUAAGACACGGUCCGGACUCCUACGGGAGGCAGCAGUAGGGAAUCUUCCGCAAUGGGCGAAAGCCUGACGGAGCAACGCCGCGUGAGUGAGGAAGGGCUUCGGAUCGUAAAACUCUGUUAUUAGGGAAGAACAUAUGUGUAAGUAACUGUGCACAUCUUGACGGUACCUAAGCAGAAAGCCACGGCUAACUACGU